GAUGAACGCUGGCGGCGUGCCUAAUACAUGCAAGUCGAGCGACCAGACGAGGAGCUUGCUCCUCUGACGUUAGCGGCGGACGGGUGAGUAACACGUGGAUACCCUACCUAUAAGACUGGGAUAACUUCGGGAAACCGGAGCUAAUACCGGAUAAUAUAUUGAACCGCAUGGUUCAAUAGUGAAAGACGGUUUUGCUGUCACUUAUAGAUGGAUCCGCGCCGCAUUAGCUAGUUGGUAAGGUAACGGCUUACCAAGGCAAUGAUGCGUAGCCGACCUGAGAGGGUGAUCGGCCACACUGGAACUGAGACACGGUCCAGACUCCUACGGGAGGCAGCAGUAGGGAAUCUUCCGCAAUGGGCGAAAGCCUGACGGAGCAACGCCGCGUGAGUGAUGAAGGUCUUCGGAUCGUAAAACUCUGUUAUUAGGGAAGAACAAAUGUGUAAGUAACUAUGCACGUCUUGACGGUACCUAAUCAGAAAGCCACGGCUAACUACGUG
RNAcentral lists this ribosomal RNA (497 nucleotides) under uncultured bacterium. Its description in RNAcentral is "partial 16S ribosomal RNA". It matches the Rfam family "Bacterial small subunit ribosomal RNA", at positions 28 to 507 of the family's 1533-position model. The record is from RNAcentral.